UUUUUACUGUUUUCGGUUUUGGUUGUGUUUUAUCAAUCAGAACUGGCUUUGGGUUCCUGCCAUGAUGGAGGUAAAAAGAGCUGUGAAACCCAGGUAGUCAAGCAUCUCCUUGAUGCAGAUGGACACCAGAUGGGGUAAGAUAGUACAACCCCUGUCCUUGAUUUUUGCCUGAAUAAAAUUGCUUCCUGAUUACAUGCUGGCUCUGAUAAUCACCAUUUACAUUUUUUCUUAGGCAUUGUAUGGCAAACCUGAACAUAAAUUUCAGUGAGAAAAUAGGCAUAUCUUGGAAUACUGCAGAAGCUAUAUUGUUUUUCCAGGCUCAGGGUUUUCAGAAUAAGAAGAUAAAUUGGAACGAAUGAAGACAUUAUUUUUAUAAACUUAUGGUGCAUGUACAUCUUUGUACUUUUUUUCCCAGGUCCAUGCAAGGUUCUCCACAUAUUUGUUGUAUCAUUAGGGCCCCACAUACAGGACCUCAUUUGUGAAAUGAUGCAACUGCUUUCUUGAAUCUAAAAUUUGGCACAGGAAGAUAAUUUAAAACUUGAGUUUCUGAAGAGGAGCCUCUAAAGCUACCUUGCACACAGGAAAGAAAGAUGACAAAAGAGAGCUCAACCCUCCUAUCCCCUACUGAUGUCAACGUCAUCUCUGAAGAAAGUUUCACCUUCCUUCCAAAGAUGAGCUGCUGAAAUGUAUAGAGAUCUUUCUGGAGUUAAAAUGAACAGCUUUAACUCUGCUCUGAAGAGUCCACUAUUGCCAAAGAGACAGCAGUUCCCUUUCUCUAUCACCACCUCCCUGGAAAUCAACUGGCUGCAAAAACAAAAGGGGCUGAGCCCAUGACACAUCGUGCCAAAGAUCUGGUUGUGUCAUAGCUCAUAUCCGUGACAAACCGAGCCAAGAUUACUGAAGAAGACUUUUUGUGACUUUUUCUAAUCUACAUCUACUUGACUUUGACUUUCCAUGUUUCUAACUAGCUAGCUACACUAACAGCUGUGGAUAUAUCUUCUAGAUAAUUGUGAAUAUCUCUGUGGGCCAUGACUUUUUAAAAUACCAAUGAGUCUGACACUAGGUACCUUCCCCAGGGAGAAGAGAACACCUUGCCUAGGAGCCAUGAAGGCCUGCUCAGAGCAGGGCGAUCCCUGUACUGAGCAGCAUGGUCCAGGCUGUAACAUGCAUACUGAUCACUUGUUUUGGGUAGAUUAAUUUGUAAUUAAAAGUACAAAACAUUAUUAAAGCCAAAUUCCAUAGCCCACCACCCACCCUGAAAAGUUGCAGUUCGCUCUUGAUUUCAUAUAACAAAUUUUGCUGAGUUACCUGAAGACCUCACAACUCCACUUUCCGAUGGCUUCAGAGGGUUUGUUUGGUAAUGGCGCAGUGAUAGCUUUACUGAUUCUGCAGGGUAGUACUGCAAGACUCCAACUCUUUAUAAAAAAACAAGUAAAUCAAAACUCAGUGUACUUCAUGUCAAAGGAAGACUGUAUUUUACUCCUUUCUCUAUGUGUAGGACUCUCCAGAAGUCUAAAAUAAAGAUGCAUAUAAUGACCUUGCAAAUAA
Long non-coding RNA from Vidua macroura (Pin-tailed whydah), 1548 nucleotides. RefSeq lists it as uncharacterized. The record is from RefSeq and is a predicted model, not a curated record. The transcript has 2 exons. NCBI's taxonomy places the organism in Eukaryota, Metazoa, Chordata, Aves, Passeriformes, Viduidae.